RNAcentral lists this ribosomal RNA (1307 nucleotides) under metagenome. Its description in RNAcentral is "bacterial SSU rRNA". It matches the Rfam family "Bacterial small subunit ribosomal RNA", at positions 83 to 1386 of the family's 1533-position model. The record is from RNAcentral.
GGGCUGAGUAGAGCGGCGGACGGGUGAGUAACGCGUAGGAAUCUACCUGGUAGUGGGGGACAACUUGGGGAAACUCAAGCUAAUACCGCAUACGCCCCAAGGGGGAAAGCGGGGGACCUUCGGGCCUCGCGCUAUCAGAUGAGCCUGCGUAGGAUUAGCUUGUUGGUGAGGUAAAGGCUCACCAAGGCGACGAUCCUUAGCUGGUCUGAGAGGAUGAUCAGCCACACUGGGACUGAGACACGGCCCAGACUCCUACGGGAGGCAGCAGUGGGGAAUACUGCGCAAUGGGGGCAACCCUGACGCAGCCAUGCCGCGUGUGUGAAGAAGGCCUUCGGGUUGUAAAGCACUUUAAGUGGGGAGAAAAGGGUAGCUGUUAAUAGCGGUUACCUGUGAUGUUACCCACAGAAUAAGCACCGGCUAACUCCGUGCCAGCAGCCGUGGUAAUACGGAGGGUGCGAGCGUUAAUCGGAAUUACUGGGCGUAAAGCGCGCGUAGGCGGUUUGUUAAGUCAGCUGUGAAAGCCCCGGGCUCAACCUGGGAACUGCAGUUGAUACUGGCCGACUAGAGUACGAGAGAGGGAGGUAGAAUUCCAUGUGUAGCGGUGAAAUGCGUAGAUAUAUGGAGGAAUACCGGUGGCGAAGGCGGCCUCCUGGCUCGAUACUGACGCUGAGGUGCGAAAGCGUGGGGAUCAAACAGGAUUAGAUACCCUGGUAGUCCACGCCGUAAACGAUGUCUACUAGCCGUUGGGAGACUUGAUUUCUUAGUGGCGCAGCUAACGCAAUAAGUAGACCGCCUGGGGAGUACGGCCGCAAGGUUAGAACUCAAAUGAAUUGACGGGGGCCCGCACAAGCGGUGGAGCAUGUGGUUUAAUUCGAUGCAACGCGAAGAACCUUACCAGGUCUUGACAUCCAGAGAACUUGGCAGAGAUGCCUUGGUGCCUUCGGGAGCUCUGAGACAGGUGCUGCAUGGCUGUCGUCAGCUCGUGUCGUGAGAUGUUGGGUUAAGUCCCGUAACGAGCGCAACCCUUGUCCUUAGUUGCCAGCGAGUAAUGUCGGGAACUCUAAGGAGACUGCCGGUGACAAACCGGAGGAAGGUGGGGACGAUGUCAAGUCAUCAUGGCCCUUACGACCUGGGCUACACACGUGCUACAAUGGAACGCACAGAGGGCUGCAAAGGCGCGAGCUGGAGCCAAUCCCACAAAACGUUUCGUAGUCCGGAUCGGAGUCUGCAACUCGACUCCGUGAAGUCGGAAUCGCUAGUAAUCGUGGAUCAGAAUGCCACGGUGAAUACGUUCCCGGGCUUUGUAC